ACGCGAAAGCUCCCUUCGGGGAGCAAGUAGAGUGGCGCACGGGUGAGUAACACGUAGGUAAUCUACCUUUGGAUGGGGAAUAACAACCGGAAACGGUUGCUAAUACCGCAUAAUGCAGCGGCACCUAAUGGUGACAGUUGUUAAAGCGGGGGAUCGCAAGACCUCGCGUCUGAAGAGGAGCCUGCGGCAGAUUAGCUAGUUGGUAAGGUAACGGCUUACCAAGGCGAUGAUCUGUAGCCGGCCUGAGAGGGCGGUCGGCCACACUGACACUGACAUACGGGUCAGACUCCUACGGGAGGCAGCAGUCGGGAAUUUUGGGCAAUGGGCGAAAGCCUGACCCAGCAACGCCGCGUGAAGGACGAAAUCCCUCGGGAUGUAAACUUCGCAAGAACGGGAAGAAUAAGUAAGGGUUAAUAUCUCUUACGAUGACGGUACUGUUUGUAAGCUCCGGCUAACUCCGUGCCAGCAGCCGCGGUAAUACGGGGGGAGCAAGCGUUG
Molecule: ribosomal RNA, 498 nt
Filed under: uncultured bacterium
Lineage: Bacteria
Description: bacterial SSU rRNA
Rfam family: Bacterial small subunit ribosomal RNA
Source: RNAcentral